Molecule: long non-coding RNA, 1620 nt
Organism: Homo sapiens (human)
Lineage: Eukaryota; Metazoa; Chordata; Mammalia; Primates; Hominidae
Gene: MYO18B-AS1
Product: MYO18B antisense RNA 1
Exons: 3
Source: RefSeq, a predicted model, not a curated record
ACAGCUGGGAGAAACUUGGGGAAUGAUGGAGUCCCAACCUCUUGUUUCACAGACAGGGGUAUAUGUCAGAGCCAUUCUUCCAGAUCAGAUGACCUGUUAAACUGAGACUUCUGCACCAUCUGAACCAUCAGUCACUCUCUGGCCCAGAGAGGUGGUGUUAUUUGCCAAGGACACACAGCAGGUGGCCAAGAUGGAGCCAAGCCAUUUUCCCCACUGCAGGGACCCCUGAUCUCCAUUCCCCUGGACAUCUCAAGGGCACAAAUUCUCUGGACACACGGAGGGAAUAAUGCUGACAUUUUAUAGAAGCUGACCCACUGGAUAUCCUUCUCACCCAACUCCAUUAGGCUGGGGAGAGUAAGAGGCACGGUGACAAGGUGGCAAAGAUGUCACCAUGCCAUCCAAUCACGAGGUCUCCAGGAAACUGUAUAAGAAGGACACCUCCAGAAACUCCUGGCACUACUGAACAAAUGUAUAAUAUCCCUGGGUAAAACCAAGAGUCCUCUCGCCUUCUCGCCAUUUGGUAACUGUUGUGCGCCUGACACAGCUUUACCCUCUUUGAAUGGGGAGAGCAGUAGUUUCUGUUCCACAGGUUGCUAUAAGGAUGAACUGUGAUCUCAUCAUUCCUCAUAAUAAUGGCUUAUCAAGAUGAAGUAAUGAUUACCAUUGCCAUUUUACUGAUGAUGAAACAAAGGCUAAGAGACUUGAAGAAUUUGCCCACAAUCUUGUAGCAAUGAAGGUACAGAGUCAGCCAUCUGGAACUCAAGCUGGCUCGACCCUCUGCCCCUCCAAACUGGACAUACAAGGUCAGGUCACUGCAUUCAUUCCUUACCUUGUACAGUGCCCAGAUUAUUCAUCUGUGUUACAAGGCAGGUAGAGAAGAGAUUAUGGACUCGGUUUUGUAUGGGCAAACUGAGGCACACAGUCAGAAAGAAUACACCAGCUGUUCUUUAGCUGAGAGGCCUUAGUUUCUUCCACCAGGACCAUCUAUGAAUAUGACCACCAUGUCUCUUCCACUGUCCACCAGGAGAUACUCCCUAGCAUGUCCCAACAGUGAAGGCUCAACAGAUCCUAAUAGCCUAAGACAGAUAAGAAACCAGGCUGUCUAAUUUCCCCCGGGGAUUAGGGAGCUACCAGUCCAGUUCCUCACAGAAGCAUGAUGCUGUGGCAGGACUAUGGAGCGAGGAGUCAGGAGACCUGGGAUGUGGUCUGGGCUCAGUUACCAGUGACCAUGUGACCCCAACAAGUCACUUUCCUACCUCCUGCUAGAGACAAGCUGGAAGCCACACUCAUGACCCAUGAUCAAACUCCCUCAGCACUUUGCAAAUAGACUUUCUGACCUACAUACAUCUGCAGUCCCCGUCAGUGGAUUGUCUCCACAAUUUCUUACCAAAAGCGAAACCUCUCAGGCUAAUGAGGCCAGAAAUGAGGAGUGCAUGGGCCUGUCUUUUGCCAUAAAUAAGGUCUUGGGGGGAAAAUCCAGAACCUAUUCCAGAGAGGGGUGGAAAAACACCCCACCUCAUUUUAUAUCCCAUGUGGUCCCAAAACCUUACAGGUGCUUCCAACAAGAAGGCCAGCACUGCCUUCUUAUGAAAAUAAAAAAACCCCAGUUUGCAUCAAGGC